UACGUAGGCAGCAAGCGUUGUUCGGAGUUACUGGGCGUAAAGGGUGUGUAGGCGGUUUGGUAAGUCUGGUGUGAAAUCUCCCGGCUCAACUGGGAGGGUGCGCCGGAAACUGCCGGACUCGAGUGCGGGAGAGGAGAGUGGAAUUCCUGGUGUAGCGGUGAAAUGCGUAGAUAUCAGGAGGAACACCGGUGGUGUAGACGGCUCUCUGGACCGUAACUGACGCUGAGACACGAAAGCGUGGGUAGCAAACAGG
Molecule: unclassified non-coding RNA, 253 nt
Filed under: uncultured Solibacteraceae bacterium
Lineage: Bacteria; Pseudomonadati; Acidobacteriota; Terriglobia; Bryobacterales; Solibacteraceae
Description: contains 16S-23S intergenic spacer region
Rfam family: Bacterial small subunit ribosomal RNA
Source: RNAcentral